Molecule: long non-coding RNA, 4107 nt
Organism: Ostrinia nubilalis (European corn borer)
Lineage: Eukaryota; Metazoa; Arthropoda; Insecta; Lepidoptera; Crambidae
Exons: 3
Source: RefSeq, a predicted model, not a curated record
AGAAUAGAAUAGAAUAGAAUAGAAUAGAAAACUUUUUAUUUGCAAGAAAGGUAUACAAGCAGGUAAGACAUAGAUUAAAACAGAGAGAAAUAAACAAGUGGACAAUUAACUGCUUGUGCCCCUCUGACAAAAAGGCACCCGCUCAGCGUACAUCAAGACCGCCAGGGCUUGUCUUGAAACUGAUUUUCAGCGGGGGCCCUCUGUUGUCACGGCGUACCCCUGCUGACGGAGAUGCAAGAGGAGAAAGGAGUCCACAAGUCCGGCAGCAGGGAGAACGCAGCAGGGGGGCGCAAAAGAAAAAGAGAAAACAAACAAAAAGAAAGAAACAAGAAAGCACCAUAAAAAUUAAUUAAUAAAAAUAAAUUCAUUUCACAUUAAUUAUAAAUUACAAUAAUAAUAAAUUAAAAUUAUAAUAAAUUACAAUAAAUUUAGAUUUUAAUUAUUAAUUACAUAAUUAAAACACAUUAAAAAAAAAAAUAAUAGAUUAAAAAUACAAAUAAAUUAUCAAAAAACACCAUUCUUUACUUAUCUAUUGCCAUUGAUAUGUGGCCAUAACCAUAAGGCCUCAAGUUAUUUAAAAUCAAUGGUAGAAAAGUGAUUGAGGAAAGAAAAAAAAAAAAAGAGAUUAAAAAAAAGAAAGAACUGUCACUUACUGUCAACGACCGACAUGUGCACGAGAUGUGAGAAUAAUUGCCACGUAAAUUGAUGAAAUGUGGUACAUUUAAAGGAUAUUUCAAGAAAGCAGUGCCAAAUAAUAAAACCAAAUUAAGAGCAAUCCGCAGCACUACAAUCACACGAAAGGGAAGGUGAAUAACAUCCAGCAUUGUAACCAAUUUCGUGCAACAACUACGGAUUACUAACAUACAAUAAUGCAAUGCAAUACUAUUAUACAAAUAAAUUAAAGAAAAUUGGACAGAAGAAUACACUGAGUACCAACAGCAAAAAAUAAAUAAAUAAAAUAAACCCAUGUCAGGAAACUAAACGGAGCCAAGUGGAUGAGGACUGCACACAAGGUGCUGGAGAAAGUUAGGUGAAGCUGGAGCUGGAAGUGGACCUGCUCCCAGGCGUGUCGUGCAUACAUUUAAGGGCACGCAGAGGCGGUGGCAGGUCAUUCCAACAUUUAGAAGCAGCAAACCUGAAGGAGCCUCUAAAAGCUGCAGUACGAUGUUUAGGGGUGUUAAAGAUAUGGGUGCAUUCUCUUCUGGGAUAUCGGCUGAGCUCACGUGCCCACUCCAGCUUCAAGAAAAGGUACUUUGGCUUGGCUUUACUCAGAACACCAAACAUCAUAGUAGCAAGAUGAAGCUUCCUACGCGCAUCCAUCUUUAACAUGGCUGCAGCAUUGAGGAAUGGCGUAACAUGUGUACGAGGUGGAAUUGUGAAACAAAACCGAGCGCAGGCAUUUUGCACUCUUUGGAUAAGUUUAGCUGAUUUUGUGAAAAUACAUGGACCAUAAACAGUAUCGCAAUAGUUAAACUUGCUGAGAACCAGUGAUUCGCAAAGAGCAAUUCGAAUCUUCUCACUUAAAUAUGGUCUUAGUUUGUAUAGAAGUUUCAAACGGUAAAAACUACUUCUAGCACAAUCAAUGAUGUGAUUUUCAAAUUUCAAAUGGCAAUCCAUGGCCAAUCCCAGAUUUUUAACUUUAUCAACCCUAACAAUAGGCUGACCUACAAUAUUUAAAGUAUUAUCAUUAAAUCUGGCUAUGUUCUUGGGGGUACCCAUUACAAUAAAUUGUGAUUUUUUAGGAUUAAGAGUAAGACAAUUCAGUAAGCACCAUGUAUUUAUGUUAUUUAGGUCUUGGUUAAUUUUAUUGACAGCAAUCACUUGGUCGGCCGGGGCAAACGGUAGAUACAGUUGCAAGUCAUCAGCAUAUAAGUGAUAUUGACAAUUCUUUAUGCUGUUUACAAUGUCAGCGCUGUACAAAAUGUACAGAAUUGGGCCCAAAAUCGAACCUUGGGGCACACCACGAGAGACUGCACUCAGCUGUGAACGCAACAGAGUGCCAUCCGUCUGUUUCAGCUCAACAUAUUGACUACGCUGAGUCAAAUAACUAUGAAACCAUUUAACGGAUCUGCUAUCAAAACCAUAGUAUUUUAGUUUGGAUGAGAGAAGAGAUGUAUUGAUUGAGUCGAAUGCCCGAGAGAAAUCAAGCAAUGUCACAAUUGUUACCAUGCCACGAUCCUGUCCAGCCAGUAUGUUGUCAACCACGUCUGCCAGUGCAGUGGCCGUUCCAUAACCCUUCCGAAACCCAGACUGACAGUGUGGAAGAAUAUCACAAUCCUCAAGGUAUCGAGUGACUUGGUCGCACACUAUCCUCUCAAGGAUUUUAGAAAGACAUGGCAGGAUGCUGAUAGGCCGUAGUUCCUCUACUGAGUUAGGGUGGCUUGUUUUAGGAAUAGGUCUCACAAUCGAUAUUUUCCAACUCUCAGGGAAUGUGCUAUCUAGUAUAGACUGGUUGACCAUCGCAGUUAUGGCUUUAAGGGAGUAGGGUAAGGUUAGCCGGAGCAUGUCCAAAGAUAGGCCAUCAUGCCCCCGGGCAUUCGACUUCAUUCCUCUGAUGGUCUUAAGAACCAUCUCCUCACUGACUGUGUGCAGAGUAAAAGUAGCUGCAUUGUUAUGCCUAUGAAACUCAAAGUAGGUCAGUUGAGAAAUGGAUACUUUAUCCUCACCUGGCACUUUUUGAAAAUGUGCAUUAAUAAGAUCAGGAUUGUUAAACAUAGAGGGUAUAUCAGGUAGGUUCCCAUUAUCUGGCAGUACUGUGCGUUUCAAGUUCCUCCAAAGUUUUUUUGGGUUACCCAGGUUACUGUUGACAUGGUCAUUGAAGAAACAAGACUUCUCGCGUUCAAUCGCCCCCAGGACCAGAUGUCUCAUUGUUUUGUAACUGUCCCUGAGGCUAGCAGUUUUCAGCACCCUAUAUCGCUUGCUAUAAGCAUCCCUAACACGAAUCAUCUUUUUGAUCGUGUCUGUUAUCCAUGGAUGUGGUGGGUGCCUAAAUUUGCGCGACCUCACAGGGGCAUGGAGAUCCAUCAUUCCAAUGAUACAACCGGUAAAAGAUGUUACAAGCUCACUUACAUUACUUAGACGAAAGAGGUUGCUCCAAUCAAUCAAACUGAGGUCCCGCUCAAGGUGCUCCAACACAAUAUCCUUGUAAGGCCUAUAGGUGACCCAGAGGGGCCUCGCUUUCUCCUUUUUGAUUUUGAACUCGGCCAGAAGUAAUGCGUGACUACCCAGGUCAGGGGAGUGUCUUACAACAACCCGGUGUGCCCGCAGAUCCGUACAGAUUAAGUCUAUUAGUGUGCUGCUGUGAUCUGUAAAAUGAGUUGGCUCAGUUAUCAACUGAUUGAGGUUUAGGCCACGUAUACACUGCUCAAGAUCUCUACUUCUGCCACUAGUAGUAUCAAGCAGAUUGAUGUUAAAGUCUCCCGCAACUAUAAGCCCGUCCGCCCCGGCGAAACAAGCAACAGAUUCUGUCAGUGCCUCAAGGAACACAUCAUAAUCAAGCCAAGGAGGUCUAUAGGCCGUGCCGAUGACUAUAACCUUACUGAGUAGACGCACGGAGAUCCACAUCUGCUCCACCAAUAUUGCAGAGCAAGGAUGGGGACACACCUUUACAUUUAGACCUUUCCGUAUGUAGAACCCUACACCACCUCCCCGGCCACCCCUUAUGUGAUCUGGUCUAGGGACGUGCCUCAGUCUAUAGCCGGCCAGUUUAGGUGCCCUGUCCUCCUCGCCAGUCCUCAGCCAUGUCUCAUUAAUGGCUAUUAUGUCAGGAGACAAGUCAUCCACCGCCACAAUCAGCUCCUCAUGCUUGGUGCUCAAAGACCCAGCAUUAAAAAAACCCACCAAUAAAUUAUCUAACCCCAGGCCUGUGAGAAAUGCGAGUUAUAUAAAAACCGGAGAAUGUUAGUGGUGCAAUGAAAAUUAGACAUGUCAUAAGAUAUCAUUAGUGCAUUCAUAUUAAUAAAUUGUAAUAAAUUCGAUUUGUGAGAAAUUGAUAAGAUCAUAAUGUAAUUGCGAAUUAAUAAAAUAGAGUCAAUGUCAAUGUAUUGAUAGCAAUGUAAUGGCAGCAAUAAUAACAAUAAUAAAAUUAUACAGUUACUGUAGAACCAA